UUUUAUGGAGAGUUUGAUCCUGGCUCAGGAUGAACGCUGGCGGCGUGCCUAAUACAUGCAAGUCGAGCGAACGGACGAGAAGCUUGCUUCUCUGAUGUUAGCGGCGGACGGGUGAGUAACACGUGGAUAACCUACCUAUAAGACUGGGAUAACUUCGGGAAACCGGAGCUAAUACCGGAUAAUAUUUUGAACCGCAUGGUUCAAAAGUAAAAGACGGUCUUGCUGUCACUUAUAGAUGGAUCCGCGCUGCAUUAGCUAGUUGGUAAGGUAACGGCUUACCAAGGCAACGAUGCAUAGCCGACCUGAGAGGGUGAUCGGCCACACUGGAACUGAGACACGGUCCAGACU
RNAcentral lists this ribosomal RNA (348 nucleotides) under Staphylococcus aureus. Its description in RNAcentral is "bacterial SSU rRNA". It matches the Rfam family "Bacterial small subunit ribosomal RNA", at positions 1 to 337 of the family's 1533-position model. The record is from RNAcentral. Lineage: Bacteria; Bacillati; Bacillota; Bacilli; Caryophanales; Staphylococcaceae.